Molecule: ribosomal RNA, 393 nt
Filed under: uncultured bacterium
Lineage: Bacteria
Description: partial 16S ribosomal RNA
Rfam family: Bacterial small subunit ribosomal RNA
Source: RNAcentral
AUACGGAGGAUCCGAGCGUUAUCCGGAUUUAUUGGGUUUAAAGGGAGCGUAGGCGGAUUAUUAAGUCAGUUGUGAAAGUUUGCGGCUCAACCGUAAAAUUGCAGUUGAUACUGGUUUCCUUGAGUACGGUAUAGGUGGGCGGAAUUCGUGGUGUAGCGGUUAAAUGCUUAGAUAUCACGAAGAACUCCGAUCGCGAAGGCAGCUCACCGGGCCGGAACUGACACUGAUGCUCGAAAGUGCGGGUAUCAAACAGGAUUAGAUACCCUGGUAGUCCGCACAGUAAACGAUGAAUACUCGCUGUUUGCGAUACACUGUAAGCGGCCAAGCGAAAGCGUUAAGUAUUCCACCUGGGGAGUACGCCGGCAACGGUGAAACUUAAAGGAAUUGACGGGG